Molecule: ribosomal RNA, 253 nt
Filed under: uncultured bacterium
Lineage: Bacteria
Description: partial 16S ribosomal RNA
Rfam family: Bacterial small subunit ribosomal RNA
Source: RNAcentral
GACGUAGGGCGCAAGCGUUGUCCGGAUUUAUUGGGCGUAAAGAGCUCGUAGGCGGCUUGUUGCGUCGUCCGUGAAAACCCGUGGCUCAACUGCGGGCUUGCGGUCGAUACGGGCAGGCUGGAGUUCGGUAGGGGAGACUGGAAUUCCUGGUGUAGCGGUGAAAUGCGUAGAUAUCUGGAGGAACACCGGUGGCGAAGGCGGCAUCCUGGACCAAUUCUGACGCUGAGGAGCGAAAGCCAGGGGAGCAAACGGG